UUGCUCAAUGGCUACCUAAUUGAGCAAUCUUUGCAAUCUUCUGCUGCAGCCUGAGGCGUAAGCUUUACCUCAGUUUCAAGGCCCGGACACAGUGUCCAGGCGCGACGCCCAACCAGGUGACGCGCUGCCGCCGACCCCACCGGGUCGUAGCGGCCCCCGGGUCCGCACUGCCCAACCAGGCGGGCGACGAAAGCGGCGACAGAAUUGCCAGCACAGGACAACGUUCCCCAGGGGAGGCCGCGAGGCCUCCCU
RNAcentral lists this small RNA (252 nucleotides) under Pseudomonas cuatrocienegasensis. RNAcentral describes it as "Pseudomonas sRNA P24". It matches the Rfam family "Pseudomonas sRNA P24". From Rfam's summary of the family: P24 is conserved across several Pseudomonas species and in Azotobacter vinelandii. It appears to be consistently located between a hypothetical protein gene and a transcriptional regulator gene (AsnC family) in the genomes of all these species. RNAcentral also lists the same sequence under 1 other name. The record is from RNAcentral. Lineage: Bacteria; Pseudomonadati; Pseudomonadota; Gammaproteobacteria; Pseudomonadales; Pseudomonadaceae.